Molecule: ribosomal RNA, 1542 nt
Filed under: Escherichia coli
Lineage: Bacteria; Pseudomonadati; Pseudomonadota; Gammaproteobacteria; Enterobacterales; Enterobacteriaceae
Description: partial 23S ribosomal RNA
Rfam family: Bacterial large subunit ribosomal RNA
Source: RNAcentral
UUGUGAGGUUAAGCGACUAAGCGUACACGGUGGAUGCCCUGGCAGUCAGAGGCGAUGAAGGACGUGCUAAUCUGCGAUAAGCGUCGGUGAGGUGAUAUGAACCGUUAUAACCGGCGAUUUCCGAAUGGGGAAACCCAGUGUGUUUCGACACACUAUCAUUAACUGAAUCCAUAGGUUAAUGAGGCGAACCGGGGGAACUGAAACAUCUAAGUACCCCGAGGAAAAGAAAUCAACCGAGAUUCCCCCAGUAGCGGCGAGCGAACGGGGAGGAGCCCAGAGCCUGAAUCAGUGUGUGUGUUAGUGGAAGCGUCUGGAAAGGCGCGCGAUACAGGGUGACAGCCCCGUACACAAAAAUGCACAUAUUGUGAGCUCGAUGAGUAGGGCGGGACACGUGGUAUCCUGUCUGAAUAUGGGGGGACCAUCCUCCAAGGCUAAAUACUCCUGACUGACCGAUAGUGAACCAGUACCGUGAGGGAAAGGCGAAAAGAACCCCGGCGAGGGGAGUGAAAAAGAACCUGAAACCGUGUACGUACAAGCAGUGGGAGCCUCUUAAUGGGGUGACUGCGUACCUUUUGUAUAAUGGGUCAGCGACUUAUAUUCUGUAGCAAGGUUAACCGAAUAGGGGAGCCGAAGGGAAACCGAGUCUUAACUGGGCGUUAAGUUGCAGGGUAUAGACCCGAAACCCGGUGAUCUAGCCAUGGGCAGGUUGAAGGUUGGGUAACACUAACUGGAGGACCGAACCGACUAAUGUUGAAAAAUUAGCGGAUGACUUGUGGCUGGGGGUGAAAGGCCAAUCAAACCGGGAGAUAGCUGGUUCUCCCCGAAAGCUAUUUAGGUAGCGCCUCGUGAAUUCAUCUCCGGGGGUAGAGCACUGUUUCGGCAAGGGGGUCAUCCCGACUUACCAACCCGAUGCAAACUGCGAAUACCGGAGAAUGUUAUCACGGGAGACACACGGCGGGUGCUAACGUCCGUCGUGAAGAGGGAAACAACCCAGACCGCCAGCUAAGGUCCCAAAGUCAUGGUUAAGUGGGAAACGAUGUGGGAAGGCCCAGACAGCCAGGAUGUUGGCUUAGAAGCAGCCAUCAUUUAAAGAAAGCGUAAUAGCUCACUGGUCGAGUCGGCCUGCGCGGAAGAUGUAACGGGGCUAAACCAUGCACCGAAGCUGCGGCAGCGACGCUUAUGCGUUGUUGGGUAGGGGAGCGUUCUGUAAGCCUGUGAAGGUGUGCUGUGAGGCAUGCUGGAGGUAUCAGAAGUGCGAAUGCUGACAUAAGUAACGAUAAAGCGGGUGAAAAGCCCGCUCGCCGGAAGACCAAGGGUUCCUGUCCAACGUUAAUCGGGGCAGGGUGAGUCGACCCCUAAGGCGAGGCCGAAAGGCGUAGUCGAUGGGAAACAGGUUAAUAUUCCUGUACUUGGUGUUACUGCGAAGGGGGGACGGAGAAGGCUAUGUUGGCCGGGCGACGGUUGUCCCGGUUUAAGCGUGUAGGCUGGUUUUCCAGGCAAAUCCGGAAAACCAAGGCUGAGGCGUGAUGACGAGGCACUACG